GAUGAACGCUAGCGACAGGCCUAACACAUGCAAGUCGAGGGGCAGCACAAGGAGCAAUCUGAGGUGGCGACCGGCGCACGGGUGAGUAACACGUAUGCAACCUGCCUAUCAGAGGGGGAUAACCCGGCGAAAGUCGGACUAAUACCGCAUAAAACAGGGGCACCGCAUGGUGAUAUUUGUUAAAGAAAUUCGCUGAUAGAUGGGCAUGCGUUCCAUUAGGUAGUUGGUGAGGUAACGGCUCACCAAGCCGACGAUGGAUAGGGGAACUGAGAGGUUGGUCCCCCACACUGGUACUGAGACACGGACCAGACUCCUACGGGAGGCAGCAGUGAGGAAUAUUGGUCAAUGGGCGGGAGCCUGAACCAGCCAAGUCGCGUGAAGGAAGAAGGAUCUAUGGUUCGUAAACUUCUUUUGCAGGGGAAUAAAGUGCAGGACGUGUCCUGUUUUGUAUGUACCCUGAGAAUAAGGAUCGGCUAACUCCGUGCCAGCAGCCGCGGUAAA
Molecule: ribosomal RNA, 501 nt
Filed under: uncultured bacterium
Lineage: Bacteria
Description: bacterial SSU rRNA
Rfam family: Bacterial small subunit ribosomal RNA
Source: RNAcentral